AGUAGGAGAGGCUGCAUGCCACCAGGCGGCCAGCCAUCAUCUCCAAGACCACUAUGUGUCAUCUGAAGAGCUGCCUCCUGCACCGUGCCAACCUGCCGUCCUCCUUCCACCUGACUGACUCCGAGCCUGCAGCUACAGACCCACACCCAGAGACCCGCACUCUUAGACCCCUCGUUUUUCGAGACAGCACCUCCUGUCAAAUUGGAUCGGAUAAACAUUUAAAAAAACACAGGCCAUCAUUUAUGGCCUAUGUGAAAUGCAGGCAUUAUCCUGGCAGGAAGCUGAGGAGGUGUUCCUCCAUGGCCCUUCUUAUUACUCUAGUCAAGGAAUUUGACAGGGCAGUUUCCAAAAGACUGAAAAAGAAGGAAAAAUCACCUACAAGGAAGUAAUUAUUUUAUCUUAUAAGUUUACAUUAUUUUACAUUUAUUCAUUUAGCAGACGCUUUUAUCAAAAGUGGCUUAUAAAUGAGGAGUUUUUUUUAAUGCAAUUGAA
This is a long non-coding RNA of Paramisgurnus dabryanus, 492 nucleotides long. RefSeq lists it as uncharacterized. NCBI's taxonomy places the organism in Eukaryota, Metazoa, Chordata, Actinopteri, Cypriniformes, Cobitidae. The record is from RefSeq and is a predicted model, not a curated record.